AGAGGAGUUGCCGUGCAUCCCAAGUAAGUCGAGCCUAUAAAAAUAUAUAUGUAUGUAUAUAUAUAUUUUUAUUUUUAUUUUGCAGCACGGAGAUGGUCCAGCAUGAGUUGCAAUUCGUGAGCGAUAGCUGCCAAAUAGCUGGGGAAUUGAUGCUGGGAUCAGAUGGAGCAUGAUGUGCAUGCUGGUCUUGGUGCUACAUGGCCUGGGCUGGAGCAUAUGCGUGCUGGGCCUGAAGCAAGGGCGUGGAGGAGGAUGGUGGUCUGCCCCCUGCCGAGGAUGUCGAGAGAUGGAAGCAGAAUGGUCCGGACCCUGAUGAUCUAUCUGCUGAAUAGGAUGAGUGCUUUGCUGAACCCCCACCAGAAAGGAAGGCCGAUGUCAAGUCUUCGAGAACUCCAGCUACUUCUUUGCAGGCGAGGAAUGUGUCUCCGUUGAGGAAGAAGCCA
This 443-nucleotide long non-coding RNA is filed under the name Prunus persica (peach). RNAcentral's name for it is "long non-coding RNA (PPER_LNC002298)". Lineage: Eukaryota; Viridiplantae; Streptophyta; Magnoliopsida; Rosales; Rosaceae. The record is from RNAcentral.